UGAGGAAUAUUGGUCAAUGGACGCAAGCCUGAUGCAGCAACGCCGCGUGAACGAUGAAGGUCUUCGGAUCGUAAAGUUCUGUUGCAGGGGAAGAUAAUGACGGUACCCUGUGAGGAAGCCCCGGCUAACUACGUGCCAGCAGCCGCGGUAAUACGUAGGGGGCUAGCGUUAUCCGGAUUUACUGGGCGUAAAGGGUGCGUAGGUGGUCUUUCAAGUCGGUGGUUAAAGGCUACGGCUCAACCGUAGUUAGCCUCCGAAACUGGAAGACUUGAGUGCAGGAGAGGAAAGUGGAAUUCCCAGUGUAGCGGUGAAAUGCGUAGAUAUUGGGAGGAACACCAGUAGCGAAGGCGGCUUUCUGGACUGCAACUGACACUGAGGCACGAAAGCGUGGGUAGCAAACAGG
RNAcentral lists this ribosomal RNA (403 nucleotides) under Verrucomicrobiota bacterium. RNAcentral describes it as "Verrucomicrobia bacterium partial 16S ribosomal RNA". It matches the Rfam family "Bacterial small subunit ribosomal RNA", at positions 355 to 776 of the family's 1533-position model. The record is from RNAcentral. Lineage: Bacteria; Pseudomonadati; Verrucomicrobiota.